CAUUAUUCUCUCCCCAUGCUUCACAACUAUAGUUCAUAAACACAUCUUAAGCACAUUGUAGCCUCCUCAACCACAACCUUAAUCAUGUACUCCUCGUCAAAAUCCUCUGGCUGAGCAAAACCUAAAUACCUUAGCUGACAUUCCAGAACUUUCACAAGGUUCCGUCCCCCUUGCUAACAAACCUUGUCCUUCCUUGCUACAUUCUGUGCUUACCUCGCUGACCCACCCACCAAGCACGGCACACUGCAGCCUCCCUCUUCUUGGCCACAACAUUCUCUCAGUCUCACUUCUCCACCAGCCUAACUCCUAUUCUUUAUCUUCAAAAGUCAGAGCACUGUAGCCCCCUCAUCCGCGGGGGAAUACAUUCCAGGACUUCCGAUGGAUGCCUGAAACCACGGUACCAAACCCUGAAUAUACCAUGGUCCCCCCCCCCCCCAUACAUACAUACCUACGGUGAAGUUUCACUUAUAAAUUCGGCACGAGUAUCCUACUCUACUCACUCUUCUUGUGAUGACGUGAGCUAGUUAAAUGCCUGCCCGCCUGAUGAGAUGAAGCGAGGUGACGGACGUGGGCUUUGGGACGCAGGGCUUGAGCUGCCUCCAUGAGCCUCCAGAUCUACAGAGAGCUCCUGACCUAUGAAACCAUGAUCCUGAAGGCUGGCCUCAGACGUGGAACUUAGGGAAAGUUUGGUUCUAUUUGCAAGGUGAGAGAGUGAAGGCAGACUGAGAAACAACGUGUGGACCCACCGAAGAGAGCAGGAGGCAUGGAUGGCAAAGCCCAGAGGAGGUGACGAGGGAAAAGACCCAGAUUUGAGGGAGAGAGUGGCCACAGGCGGAGACAAAGGGAAGAAGCCUAGAGUAUAGGACAACUAGUCUGAGAUUUCCUGCAGACCCCAGCUGGAAGUGAAGCCUGGCCCAGAAGUCUCCAGAUAAAACAUAGGUUUUAUUCUCUGCUUCAGAUUCUGUGUCUCCCUCUCUCUCUGCCCACCCCCACUCACGCUCUCCCUCUCUCUCUCAAAAAUAAAUAAACAUUAAAAAAAAUAUUUUUAACGUAGGU
Long non-coding RNA from Felis catus (domestic cat), 1056 nucleotides. RefSeq lists it as uncharacterized. Lineage: Eukaryota; Metazoa; Chordata; Mammalia; Carnivora; Felidae. The transcript has 4 exons. The record is from RefSeq and is a predicted model, not a curated record.